Fundulus heteroclitus (mummichog) is the source of this 190-nucleotide long non-coding RNA. RefSeq lists it as uncharacterized. Lineage: Eukaryota; Metazoa; Chordata; Actinopteri; Cyprinodontiformes; Fundulidae. The transcript is spliced from 2 exons. The record is from RefSeq and is a predicted model, not a curated record.
UCACUGGUCUCCCGGACACCGGUCAACUCCACCCGUAGGCAAGGGCUGAGUCCACACCGCUUCCUCCCCUGUUCGGUGUCCGCGCUUUGUGACUAAUCCGGUCUCCUGGCUUUGGUUCCCCGUUGUGCCCCGAUCUGCAGAGGCAGAGCUCCCGUCACUCUAGACUUAAAUAAACCUUUUGUGAUCUGAA